GGAGAGGUGUCAGAGUGGCCGAAUGAGCACGCUUGGAAAGCGUGUGUAUCGUAAGGUACCGAGGGUUCAAAUCCCUCCCUCUCCGCCA
This 88-nucleotide transfer RNA is filed under the name Planctomycetota bacterium. RNAcentral's name for it is "tRNA-Ser". It matches the Rfam family "tRNA". Rfam says of the family: Transfer RNA (tRNA) molecules are approximately 80 nucleotides in length. The record is from RNAcentral. Lineage: Bacteria; Pseudomonadati; Planctomycetota. RNAcentral also lists the same sequence under 1 other name.